GGAAUUUGCCGAGAAGAACUGGCCUCCAGUAAGACAUCAAGAGUAUUCCUGUAUUUGGCCAGACCAUGAGCUCGAAGUUCAGCUUGAUACUUGGUCUUGCAAGUAUCCAAAGGAUACAAUAUAGUGGUGCUUAGCAAAGAUCCUAUGGCCCCAGAAGUUGCCUCAGCCAAAGACUCCAUAUUCAAAGCCAUAAUCGAAGAACAAGUGAAUUUGACCGGAGAGAAAUGAACCCCAAUCGCAGAUAACUCAAUUUUACCAAAAAUCAAAAUUGGAGUUCAAGUAGUAGCGCAUAGGGAAUCGGAAACGUGAGGGAAUGGGCUUGU
Molecule: unclassified non-coding RNA, 323 nt
Filed under: Hevea brasiliensis (rubber tree)
Lineage: Eukaryota; Viridiplantae; Streptophyta; Magnoliopsida; Malpighiales; Euphorbiaceae
Source: RNAcentral